ACUCCGGGGAACCAAGCUCAACCGGAUAGGAUCUUCUCCUUCAUGGGAGAUGAUUGAAAGAUGGUUUCGGCUAUCACUGACAGAUGGGCCUGCGGUGCAAUAACUAGUUGGUGAGGUACCGGCCCACCAAGGAAACGAUGAAUAACCAACCUGAGAGGCAGAUCCGCCACACUGAGACUGAGACACGGCCCAGACUCCUACAGGAGGCAUCAGUAGGGAAUCUUCCGCAAUGGACGAAAGUCUGACGGAGCAACGCCGCGUGAGUGAUGAAGGCUUUCGGGUCGUAAAACUCUGUUGUUAGGGAAGAACAAUUACAAGAGUAACUGCUUGUACCUUGACGGUACCUAACCAGAAAGCCACGGCUAACUACGUGCCAGCAGCCGCGGUAAAUACGUAGGUGGCAAGCGUUAUCCGGAAUUAUUGGGCGUAAAGCGCGCGCAGGCGGUUUCUUAAGUCUGAUGUGAAAGCCCACGGCUCAACCGUGGAGGGUCAUUGGAAACUGGGGAACUUGAGUGCAGAACAGAAAAGCGGAAUUCCACGUGUAGCGGUGAAAUGCGUAGAGAUGUGGGAGGAACACCAGUGGCGAAGGCGGCUUUUUUGGUCUGUAACUGAACGCUGAGGCGCCAAAGCG
Molecule: ribosomal RNA, 631 nt
Filed under: Bacillus sp. WBUT_C07
Lineage: Bacteria; Bacillati; Bacillota; Bacilli; Caryophanales; Bacillaceae
Description: bacterial SSU rRNA
Rfam family: Bacterial small subunit ribosomal RNA
Source: RNAcentral